Molecule: long non-coding RNA, 1411 nt
Filed under: Takifugu rubripes (torafugu)
Lineage: Eukaryota; Metazoa; Chordata; Actinopteri; Tetraodontiformes; Tetraodontidae
Description: lncRNA (ENSTRUG00000033216.1)
Source: RNAcentral
GCUGUAGAAGAUGGGGUGCUGCUGUAGUAAGACUGACGAGUGGAGAGACAGCGACAGCGACAGCGAAAGCAUCAGCGGCAUCGACAGUGACAUCAGCAGUCUGUCAGACAUCCUGCACUACAGUGGAUGGAGGACGGUGAUGGUGGAGCACAGGCAGCACACCACCGCAGGAACCCAGCAGGCAUGGUUGGAUGCAGAGCUUAAAGGAGACAGCAGGUGUAAGGAGGAACCUGAGGUUAUUAGGAACCCAACACGUGUCGGGCCCACCCUUGAAUCAGAUCCCUGUGUGGCGCUGGACAGACUGAGCACAGGCGGAGAGGAAAACACUCCAGAUGGGUCAAACAGCUUCUACAGCAUCCGUCCCAUUGAUGCUGAUGACCUUGAGCAGGAGCAGAACCAGUGGGCAACAGAUGAGCCUGGUCCAUCCACUGUGCUGCAAACCGAGUUACUAACACCUCCUCCUGAAACAGACACUGGAUUAUUCCAAACACUUCCUCCUGGACCAGACCCCGAUUUAUUCCCAACACCUCCUCCUGGACCAGACCCUGAUUUAUUCCCAACACCUCCUCCUGGACCAGUCUCUGGAUUAUUCUCAACACCUCCUGAAUUGUCUUUACUGAGUGAGGUCGAUGUGCGUGUGACCACAAUAUCCUCACCGGAUACUGUUUCCUCCCAUCACACCGAUGUCACGACCUCGUCUCUCAACAAUCCAGGAAAAUUGUACGGUCCAGAAACUCACCGUAGAUCCCCCAAAUCCCACUUUGAGUGGCAGGAAAAUGCGGAGCUCAAACGUUCGUGGCUUCCAGCGAAUUCACGCAUCCGGAAAAUCCCGAGCCGAGAAGAGGGCGAUGAUCCCUCUGUCUCAAUUUGUUUUUACAGUGCACCUGAAGACCUGGCCCCCCCGAGACCUGAGCGUCAGGAUGUUGCCAUACAAACUUUGCCCCCUGGUGCUUGUGGAGAUGCUUCCACUCCACCCAAGAUUGAGUCCGUCUGUCUGGUGAUGGCUGAAGGGGGCAACAGUGGGGACAAGACGAAGGGAAUGGUGUGGUCCCAGGGAACACCCCAGGCUGAGUCCCCACAGACAGGCAGAGGUGUGGACAUCCCAGGGCCAGUGUCGGAGCUCCAGCCCUCCAAGGUUCCCAGAGACUGCCCACAGCCUAAAACUUUGCCAGGACUGUCAGCCAAACCUCCCAGACUACAAAGGAGAGGACGCGUCAGCAUGGGGAGAAGAUACCAACAGAGGGAAGCAGACAAGACAAAGGAGCUGGUAAGCAACUGCUGGUUUUGCCUUGUGGACACACCAGUGCUCAGUUUCCACAUUGACCCAGUGCUGCUUUAUAGGACGCAGAGAGGAAGCCGUCACCUCUUCCUGAGAUCGGGGAGGCCAACUUCCCUUCUCUUUCUGCUGUGA